UCCUGACAUCAAACAUAGGCUCUACCGCAAUAUCCCAGGGUAGACGUGGCAUAGGUUUCAUGCUUGAGGAAGAUGGGGAAUCAAGUUCAUACUCCGCAAUGAAAGCCCUUGUGACGGAAGAAUUGAAGGCCUAUUUUCGUCCCGAGCUCCUGAACAGGAUAGACGAGGUUGUCGUCUUCCGCUCCCUCGAGAAGACACAGAUGUUGAAGAUUCUGAACAUAAUGUUGCAAGAAGUAAAGAG
RNAcentral lists this unclassified non-coding RNA (241 nucleotides) under Hevea brasiliensis (rubber tree). Lineage: Eukaryota; Viridiplantae; Streptophyta; Magnoliopsida; Malpighiales; Euphorbiaceae. The record is from RNAcentral.